GACGAACGCUGGCGGCGUGCUUAACACAUGCAAGUCGAACGGAAAGGCCCUGCUUUUGUGGGGUGCUCGAGUGGCGAACGGGUGAGUAACACGUGAGUAACCUGCCCUUGACUUUGGGAUAACCUCAGGAAACUGGGGCUAAUACCGGAUAGGAGCUCCUGCUGCAUGGUGGGGGUUGGAAAGUUUCGGCGGUUGGGGGUGGACUCGCGGCUUAUCAGCUUGUUGGUGGGGUAGUGGCUUACCAAGGCUUUGACCGGUAGCCGGCCUGGGAGGGUGACCGGCCACGUUGGGACGGGGAUACGGCCCAGACUCGUACGGGAGGGAGCAGUGGGGAAUAGUGCACAAUGGGCGGAAGCCUGAUGCAGCAACGCCGCGUGCGGGAUGACGGCCUUCGGGUUGUAAACCGAUUUCGCCUGUGACGAAGCGUGAGUGACGGUAAUGGGUAAAGAAGCACCGGCUAACUACGUG
This 468-nucleotide ribosomal RNA is filed under the name uncultured bacterium. RNAcentral describes it as "partial 16S ribosomal RNA". It matches the Rfam family "Bacterial small subunit ribosomal RNA", at positions 28 to 507 of the family's 1533-position model. The record is from RNAcentral.